Bos taurus (domestic cattle) is the source of this 72-nucleotide non-coding RNA. Lineage: Eukaryota; Metazoa; Chordata; Mammalia; Artiodactyla; Bovidae. The record is from Rfam.
UCCCUGGUGGCUCAGAUGGUAAAGUGUCUGCCUACAAUGCGGGAGAUCCGGGUUCGAUCCCUGGGUUGGGAA